Molecule: non-coding RNA, 280 nt
Organism: Pelobates cultripes (western spadefoot toad)
Lineage: Eukaryota; Metazoa; Chordata; Amphibia; Anura; Pelobatidae
Source: the annotation of a GenBank genome assembly
GUUCACUGAAAACUUGCUAAAUAGGGAAGUUCCAUGAUUCAUUUUUUACCUUUCUAGAACAUCAGUGAUUUUUGUAUAUCAAAGUAAGAUGGUGGAGUUUUGGCUGUUUAACAACUGUUUUGUUUGUGUUAAUACUUGACUUUGUUUACUAAAACACUGUUAGACAAUGGCACCUCCAGAUUGCAAACUUUAGCUUGGGUGUGUCAAAUUCAGUUCUCAAGUGCCAAAAAUAUGUUCACACUAUAUGAAUAUAAUCCCUAGAAACUAACGUAAACGAAAU